This 448-nucleotide ribosomal RNA is filed under the name uncultured bacterium. RNAcentral describes it as "bacterial SSU rRNA". It matches the Rfam family "Bacterial small subunit ribosomal RNA", at positions 772 to 1216 of the family's 1533-position model. The record is from RNAcentral.
ACUAAAUAGAUACCCUGGUAGUCCACGCCGUAAACGAUGAUCACUCGCUGUUAGCGAUACACAGUUAGCGGCUAAAGCAAAAGCAUUAAGUGAUCCACCUGGGGAGUACGGCCGCAAGGCUGAAACUCAAAGGAAUUGACGGGGGCCCGCACAAGCGGAGGAACAUGUGGUUUAAUUCGAUGAUACGCGAGGAACCUUACCUGGGCUUAAAUGUAGAGUGCAUUCCCGAGAAAUCGGGAUUUCCUUCGGGACUUUCUGCAAGGUGCUGCAUGGUUGUCGUCAGCUCGUGCCGUGAGGUGUCGGGUUAAGUCCCAUAACGAGCGCAACCCUUACUCGUUAGUUGUCCAGCGGGUAAGUGCCGGGAACGUCUAACGAAACUAGCCGGUGUAACCGAGAGGAAGGUGGGGAUGACGUCAAACUCAGCACGGCCCGUUACUGUCCAGGGCUA